GAUGAACGCUGGCGGCGUGCCUAAUACAUGCAAGUCGAGCGAACGGACGAGAAGCUUGCUUCUCUGAUGUUAGCGGCGGACGGGUGAGUAACACGUGGAUAACCUACCUAUAAGACUGGGAUAACUUCGGGAAACCGGAGCUAAUACCGGAUAAUAUUUUGAACCGCAUGGUUCAAAAGUGAAAGACGGUCUUGCUGUCACUUAUAGAUGGAUCCGCGCUGCAUUAGCUAGUUGGUAAGGUAACGGCUUACCAAGGCAACGAUGCAUAGCCGACCUGAGAGGGUGAUCGGCCACACUGGAACUGAGACACGGUCCAGACUCCUACGGGAGGCAGCAGUAGGGAAUCUUCCGCAAUGGGCGAAAGCCUGACGGAGCAACGCCGCGUGAGUGAUGAAGGUCUUCGGAUCGUAAAACUCUGUUAUUAGGGAAGAACAUAUGCGUAAGUAACUGUGCACAUCUUGACGGUACCUAAUUAGAAGGCCACGGCUAACUACGUG
Molecule: ribosomal RNA, 497 nt
Filed under: uncultured bacterium
Lineage: Bacteria
Description: partial 16S ribosomal RNA
Rfam family: Bacterial small subunit ribosomal RNA
Source: RNAcentral